ACAGGUAUAACUCAGUUGGUUAGAGUACUCGUCUGAUACGCGAGAUGUCGGUGGUUCGAGUCCACCUACCUGUA
RNAcentral lists this transfer RNA (74 nucleotides) under Caudoviricetes sp. RNAcentral describes it as "tRNA-Ile". It matches the Rfam family "tRNA". From Rfam's summary of the family: Transfer RNA (tRNA) molecules are approximately 80 nucleotides in length. Lineage: Duplodnaviria; Heunggongvirae; Uroviricota; Caudoviricetes. The record is from RNAcentral.